Molecule: ribosomal RNA, 495 nt
Filed under: uncultured bacterium
Lineage: Bacteria
Description: partial 16S ribosomal RNA
Rfam family: Bacterial small subunit ribosomal RNA
Source: RNAcentral
GACGAACGCUGGCGGCGUGCCUAAUACAUGCAAGUAGAACGCUGAAGGAGGAGCUUGCUUCUCUGGAUGAGUGGCGAACGGGUGAGUAACGCGUGGGUAACCUGCCUGGUAGCGGGGGAUAACUAUUGGAAACGAUAGCUAAUACCGCAUAAUAGUAGAUGUUGCAUGACAUUUGCUUAAAAGGUGCAAUUGCAUCACUACCAGAUGGACCUGCGUUGUACUAGCUAGUUGGUGGGGUAACGGCUCACCAAGGCGACGAUACAUAGCCGAACGGAGAGGGGGAGCGGCCAGACUGGGAGUGAGACAGGGCACAUAGUCCUACGGGAGGCAGCAGGAGGGAAACUUCGGCAAUGGACGGAAGUCUGACCGAGCAAGGCGGCGUGAGGGAAGAAGGUUGUCGGAUCGGAAAGCUCGGUUGUAAGAGUAGAACGAGUGUGAGAGUGGAAAGUUCACACUGUGACGGUAUCUGAUCAGAAAGGGACGGCUAACUACGUG